AUUUAUAUAGUUUAAAUAAAACAUUACAUUUUCAUUGUAAAAAUAAAGAAAAUUUUUUAAAUA
RNAcentral lists this transfer RNA (63 nucleotides) under Brasilocerus sp. 2 DTA-2012. RNAcentral's name for it is "tRNA-Glu". Lineage: Eukaryota; Metazoa; Arthropoda; Insecta; Coleoptera; Phengodidae. The record is from RNAcentral.